UACAGAGGGGGCAAGCGUUAUUCGGAAUUAUUGGGCGUAAAGGGCGCGUAGGCGCCCUGGCAAGUGGAAGGUGAAAUCCCUCGGCUUAACCGAGGAACUGCCUUCCAAACUGCUUGGCUUGAGUCCGGGAGAGGUGAGUGGAAUUCCCAGUGUAGCGGUGAAAUGCGUAGAUAUUGGGAGGAACACCAGUGGCGAAGGCGGCUCACUGGACCGGAACUGACGCUGAUGCGCGAAAGCGUGGGGAGCAAACGGG
This 253-nucleotide ribosomal RNA is filed under the name uncultured bacterium. RNAcentral describes it as "partial 16S ribosomal RNA". It matches the Rfam family "Bacterial small subunit ribosomal RNA", at positions 524 to 776 of the family's 1533-position model. The record is from RNAcentral.